RNAcentral lists this long non-coding RNA (383 nucleotides) under Mustela putorius furo (domestic ferret). RNAcentral describes it as "lncRNA (ENSMPUG00000026219.1)". Lineage: Eukaryota; Metazoa; Chordata; Mammalia; Carnivora; Mustelidae. The record is from RNAcentral.
GCUUUCCUUAGCUUGUAGAUACAUCAGCCACUCUCUGUGUCUAUCAUCACAUGGCUCUCUGUUCCUUGUGUGUCCCUUCAUGUCGUCUUCCUUCUGUGAGUGCUUGCGUUCAGCAUUCCUCUAUUUCGAGAGGACACCUGUCCCCUGGAUAAGAGGCCCAUGCUACUCCAGUAUCCAACAUUUUUGUGUACUCGUUCGGGUUAGUCCAGCAAGGCUCAUGAAUCCCAGUGCAACGUCCUUCAGGAAGGAAGAAAAAGGAAAUACCAGAUGAGCAAUGUAGACUUCCCGCAGCAUGUGGGCCUCCAAUCACAAGGAACGCUACAUGACUCUCACCUUGCGAGCUGUAUCAAGCAGGUACCUGUGGGGAAAAUGGCCAAUGAUUU